GUGCUUUUAUGAAUUGAGCUUAAAGUGAAUUUGAUUUUUCUAAGAAAAGUUAGAAGUUUUCCUAAAGACGAGAAGACCCCAAAAUCUUUAUUUUAAUUUAUAGGAUUUAAUUUUUAUUUGGGGGAAAGAUUGAUUUUUAUUUAUUGUUUUAUUAUUGCGAACUUUUUUAGGGUGUAUGGAUAGAUACUUUGGGGGUAACAGGAUUAUUUUCUUUUGAAGCUCUUAUUUUGGGGAAAGUUUAUUACCUCGAUGUGGGCUUUUGAUUUUAGUUGGGGGUAGCUUUUCAAACUAAUAGUCUGUUCGACUAUUAAAA
RNAcentral lists this ribosomal RNA (313 nucleotides) under Demodex folliculorum. RNAcentral describes it as "partial 16S ribosomal RNA". Lineage: Eukaryota; Metazoa; Arthropoda; Arachnida; Trombidiformes; Demodicidae. The record is from RNAcentral.